Non-coding RNA from Podarcis lilfordi (Lilford's wall lizard), 4808 nucleotides. The record is from the annotation of a GenBank genome assembly. Lineage: Eukaryota; Metazoa; Chordata; Lepidosauria; Squamata; Lacertidae.
AUCCUUCAGCGGGUCUUUGCCUUCUGAAUUGUAAAGUAGGCCUUCACUAUUUGCAUCCUCCAGAUGGAGCAGCGUAUAAACACUCCCAGAUAUUUCUAGUAAGUAUGAAAAAAAACCAUCUCAUUUGUCCUUUCUGUGAAUAAAUAAGAGAGUGUCAAAUUUUAUAGACUAAUAAAUUUGUAUUCUGGGAGUGACAUUGAAUCUCUCAUGGCCUGCAAUGUCAGAGACCCUGAGAGAGACGAUCUUUUUUUGUUUUGUUUUCAAAUGUAUACUAAGUCAAGUAGAGGUUCAAUAAAAAGCCAGGGAAUUUGAUUGUGUUGUUUGUCCGCCCAGUAGACUAAUUCAGUUGCAAUUUGCCAUGAGGAAAUACAAUUUACAUUUUUCCCAGGGUUGCAUAAGCAAUCACAAAGAUGGUCACGAAAGAAGAAUGGAAGGAAUGGUUAAGAAGCACUUUAAAGCCAUAUUUUAUAUGUACUUAAAAGAAAAUAACACUUUCGAACCGAAAAUGAUUUUUGCGCUUCUGGCCUUCUAUAUAACGCAGUAUGUCAUAUAAGCCAGAGUUGUCAGGGAAAAUCCACCAGAAAGGUUAUCUGUGUACAUGCCAUUGAAAUGAAUGGGUUUUCCCCCAGUUUUCUUCAUUUCAGUUGGGUUUCAGAGGAAAAGUUCCCUAGUGGUUUUUUGUGUGUUUGUUUGCUUGGCAUUCUCAACAUUGUACUGCCUGGUGUUGUUGAAUGGGUCUUUUUCAACACCUUUUUUUAAUACCAAAAGAACAUGCAGCAAAUACAUUCUCAUUUUCAUUUCAAUAUUAAAUCCCCCAAAAUAUUAUAGCCCCACGGUCCUUUUGCAUUUGAUUGCAAUCUCUUCUCCAUCUCCUACUUAACAGAGUAACAGUUAAGAUGGAUUUUAGAAAAAUAAAAAAUAAAAUCCUGAAUGUGUUUUUAAUAAAUUCCUAAGAAGCAACUUUUCUGAGGAGCUACUCCAAGAUAUAGUGUAUUUUUGGUAGAUCUCUGUGAAAUUCUUGUUUGGAAAGAGUCUAUUCAUUUCCAUUAACCAAAUUUUUGGGUAACUGCAUCACAUAGCAAAUUUCAGCUAUGUUGAACUGACUGCGGAGCCUUGAUUAUAUAUAUAACUGUUACUUAGAAGUAACCUCUAAGGUGGCUACCUGAUUGGUUGGGUCAUGAAAGUCCAGUUCCUAGGAUGGAAUUCUGUACCUGAGAAAAAUGACUAGAGAAUCCACAAUUCCACUAUACAGUCUUUCAUGCACAGUAUAUUUUUGUAGAGUAUAUAUCCAUGAGUUGCUACAGGAGCACCAUUUCAGCAUUUUUUUUUUGCAAGGGCAAGGGAUGUCUUUGAUGUAUAUGCACCAAAAGAAGCAUAUUCUAAGAACAUUUUUUAGUCCCUCCUAACCAGAGAUUUAGAUUUUUAUGUAGAAUAAUCUCACUUCAGUAGCACAGAGUGAGUAAGUUGAAAACCACCCGCCAGCUAAUUUCACCAUUGAAUCUCUAUCCAUUGCCCCCAGGUGACUUCAGGAAGUGCUUCUACCUCUGUCAUUAUUCACUGACCACAAAACAUUCUACAGAGGACAUCAAUAAAUUAUAUCUAAUAUUUAUUUUCUUUGCAUAGUAAUUAGAGAGGAAUGAGGCAAACUCAUAGUAUCCAGCAUUGAAUUGAUUUGUGGAAAUGUAUUUUGAUGAGUGAAGUUCUAAGCUUACCAAAGUGAAAUAUUUGAGAAAGAAAUAUUUGAAAUCAAUAUUAUGAAAUCUUCUGAAAUUGUUAUAUAGCAACAAAGAGACUCAAUAAAACAAAUUAAAAUGUAAAGUAUAAGCAACUGUGUUGUAUCUCUAUUAGCAGUGGUUGCUUUGUCAUCCAAGACAGAUAGUAGACAUUUCUCUGAUAAUAUCUCAGAUUGUGAUACCGCCAUAGAAUCAUAGAGUUGAAAGGGACCACUAGGAUCAGGUAGUCCAACUCCCUGCAAUGCUUGAACCCACAACCUUGAGAUUAAAAGUCUCAUGCUCAACUAAUUGAGCUACCCCAGCUUGGAUUUUGUUCGCUUGUAAAGGUCAGAGAUUCUUAAGAAACAUCAUCCCCCACACAUACGGCAAUUUUUAGCAAAAGUGCUAAUGAAAAUUUAGUUUUGCAUUUUUCCUGAUAUACACACUUCAUAUGGACUUUCAUUUAAGAGAGACAUUUUUGCAAGCAGUGUUCUUCUGCAUGCUUCUUUUAAAAAAAUAAAAGCAUUUUUGUUUGCGGGGGGGAGAAGAGGAACUGCAUCGCAAAAUUCAGAAGAGCAGGGCUCCAUUUUGGCCCAUUGCACUGCUCCUCCCCCGUUUGCAUGCAAGAUGGAUUGUACCAUAUAUUAUAUCCAAAACUUAGUGCCCUUGAUUCAACAAGUUCAAAAUGGGCAUAACUGUUAAAAUCAUAAUUUUGCCCUAAGUUUAAUAGAGCCGCUCCUUCUGCCCGCAGCAUAUCAACCCACACAGUGGUGAGUGCCUGCAAGGUAGUGCAUACAUGUAUGCUUUCUCUUGGUCAUAUGUACGCCAUGCACAAAUUCUUGUCUGAGAAGUUUUGCUUGAGUAUCAUAAAGUUACACAAAGUUUGUGCUUUAUAGUGCAAUCCAUCCCUGUGCUUCAGUGUAUGAGGAAGGAUGUCAGGGUAAUCCAUGAUUCACCAUGAUGUAAAGAGCUGCACCGAGCUUCGGCCUUGCAUGCUCUCCUCUUCUCCUCAAGCAUGACUGUGGAGAGGAGAUAUAGAAGCUUUCGCUUCCAUUUAAAUGAAUCAUAGCUUUCCAUGUCACCCAAGUCUGGCAAACUGCAGUUAACUUUUACUACUGCUGGUUCCAAACAAGCCAACUUAGUGACUGAAACUGGCUUGCUUCCAUGAACAGUUGUUAAGAUUAACCACAGUUACAGGUCUAGGUGACACACUGAGUUGAGUGAAAUAAGUAUUUGAUCCCUUUGCAAACGAUGACUUAGUACUUGGUGGCAAAACCCUUGUUGGCAAUUACAGAGGUCAGCCGUUUCUUGUAGGUGGCCACCAGGUUUGCACACAUCUCAGGAGGUAUUUUGUCCCACUCCUCUUUGCAGAUCCUCUCCAAGUCAGUAAGAUUCUGAGGCUGAUGUGUAGCUACUUGAACCUUCAGCUCCCUCCACAGAUUUUCAAUGGGAUUAAGGUCUGGAGACUGGCUAAGCCACUCCAGGACCUUAAUGUGCUUCUUCUUGAGCCACUCCUUUGUUGCCUUGGCCGUGUGUUUUGUGUCAUUGUCAUGCUGGAAUACCCAUCCUCGACCCAUUUUCAAUGCCCUGGCUGAGGGAAGGAGGUGCUCACCCAAGAUUUGACGAUACUUGGUCCCGUCCAUCGUCCCUUCAAUGCGGUGAAGGUGUCCUGUCCCCUUAGGAGAAAAGCACCCCCAAAGCAUAAUAUGUCCUCCUCCAUGUUUGACGGUGGGGGUGGUGUUCUUGGGGUCGUAGGCAGCAUUCCUCCUCCUCCAAACAUGGCGAGUUGAGUUGAUGCCAAAGAGCUCGAUUUUGGUCUCAUCUGACCACAACACUUUCACCCAGUUCUCCUCUGGGUCAUUCAGAUGUGCAUUGGCAAACUGCAGACAGCUUGAGCAAGGGGACCUUGCAGGCUCUGCAAGAUCUCUGUCCUUCACGGCGUAGUGUGUUACCAACUGUUUUCAUGGUGACUAUGGUCCCAACUGACAAGUUCCCCCCAUGUAGUUCUGGGCUUCUUCAUCACAGUACUCCUGAUCAUUGCAACUCCACAAGAUGAGAUCUUGCAUGGAGCCCCAGACCGAGGGAGGUUGGCAGUUAUUUUGUGUUUCUUUCAUUUGCGAAUUAUUGCAUCAACUGUUGUCACCUUCUCACCAAGCUGCUUGGCAAUAGUCUUGUAGCCCAGUCCAGCCUUGUGCAGGUCUACAAUGUUGUCCCUGACAUCCUUGGACAGCUGUUUGGUCUUGGUCAUGGUGGCUACUUUGGAAUCUGCUGGAUUGAUUGCUUCUGUCGACAGGUGUCUUUUGUACAGGUACUGUAACAAGCUGGGAUUAUAGGUGAGACCUCUCCCUUACAGCAGGUGCUUCUAAUCUCAGCUCCUUACAUACAGUGAAGAUACCAGGUAGCCUGACAUCUGGCUGGUUGAUAGGGGAUCAAAUACUUAUUUCACUCAUUAUAAUGCACAUCAAUCUCUGGCUUUUGUCUUCUGCGUUUCUGGGGGUUUUCCUGUUGUUAUUCUGUCUCUCACAGCUACAGUAGUUUACUGUAUCUGUGAGAGACAGAGUAACAACAGGAAAAGCUGCUUAGAUACAUAAAGGAGGCCACAUCAGUGUACGGCAAGUCACAUACUGGAACUCCGAUUUCAAAUUGAUUGACCAGUCUUGAAUCUGACUAAGAAUUAGAAACAACCACCUUGCCAUCGUUUUGUUAGUCUGUUAUUCUUAACAGAUCCUACUAAGUUCAUUAAUAUAGGUACAACUCAGGUAAUCAUCUGCUUAAAUCAUUAUCAUUGAAAUCAUUGAAACCACUUAACUUUAGCUCAGUUUCUAAAUUAUUAGUUAUUAGUGAGCAAGCUAGAGGGUUAUGCUGGAAGAGCUGUGCGUGCUUUGGGGGUCGUGGAGCAGGUUUUGUUUCCUCCUGAGAGGAAAACAACAUGUCCCAAAUGCUUCCUUGAUCCAUGUUCACAGCCCCUUUUCAAGGCAGUUCCUUCACCUCGUUUUUCAUUCCAGAACACUUAUAGUCGCUUACUUGAAAUUCCUUCUAAAAUUACUGUUGUGGAGAUUUUGACUUGGCCCUUUAUACCAAAUGAAAUCAAGAUGG